CCAACGUGGAUAUCCUGUGAGGUUGCUCUCUCAGGCUCUGUCCUCGUGGCGUAUGGGAGCGUAGCAUCUUCUGGUGCUGUGAUGUACAGUCCCGUUCCACAACGUUGGAGAACAUGCAUGUCCCCAGCAUUUGUGCUGGUGUGGACAUCAUCCUGUAUAUUCCUAAAACUUCCCAGAGCUCUCGGGCUAUUACUGGGGAGAAAAACCAUGCAGGAUACAUAA
Rana temporaria (common frog) is the source of this 222-nucleotide small nucleolar RNA. RefSeq annotates it as small nucleolar RNA SNORA73 family. Lineage: Eukaryota; Metazoa; Chordata; Amphibia; Anura; Ranidae. The transcript has a single exon. The record is from RefSeq and is a predicted model, not a curated record.